UACGAAGGGGGCUAGCGUUGCUCGGAAUCACUGGGCGUAAAGCGCACAUAGGCGGAUUUCUAAGUCAGGGGUGAAAUCCUGGAGCUCAACUCCAGAACUGCCUUUGAUACUGGCGACCUUGAGUCCGGGAGAGGUGAGUGGAACUGCGAGUGUAGAGGUGAAAUUCGUAGAUAUUCGCAAGAACACCAGUGGCGAAGGCGGCUCGCUGGGCCAUUGCUGACGCUGAGGCGCGAAAGCGUGGGGAGCAAACAGG
This 253-nucleotide ribosomal RNA is filed under the name uncultured bacterium. Its description in RNAcentral is "partial 16S ribosomal RNA". It matches the Rfam family "Bacterial small subunit ribosomal RNA", at positions 524 to 776 of the family's 1533-position model. The record is from RNAcentral.